CUGCUCGAGCAGCAUUUAAAUGCUGCUCGACCAGCAAAAUACUGCUCGACCAGCAAAUUUACUGCUCGACCAGCAUUUUUUCUGCUCGAGCAGAAAAAUCCUGCUCGACCAGCAUUUAUUUUUAGAUUAUGGCAUUAGCCAAUCAGAACUCUUGUUAUAUUUGCCAUUUGGUGCAAAACUGGUUUGUUUGGAAAAAAUGGCUGCCGCCGUGAUGGUGCCUUUUUCACAUCUUCUGCAAGUUUAUGUGACGAUCUGUUUAAAGUUUAACAUUGACACGCGGUGGACUUCAAUAUGUAUGAUCUACUUAUGCUGCCACAAUGUAAAGGCAACAAUCACUGGGUUUUGCUGGUUGCAAGUGUUAUGUCCAGGACUGUAACCAUUUACGACUCAUUGGGUGGUAACAACAAGGCCUUGUUCGAUUUGUUCUGCCAGUUCAUGUGUCAACGAGGGCAAAUUGUGAAAGAUGGCUUGGAAAAAAUCAGUUCAGAGUUAAAAGCGCCACCUUGCAACAAACAGCGCCACGGAAACAGCUGUGGAGUGUUUGCAUUGAUGGUAAUAAAUAAGCUUUAUAUUUCUAUAUAGGUGUCACUUUGUCGUACUGUCGGUCGGUCUGUCUCGAAAUUUCAUCCGAUCUUCACCAAACUUGGUCACAAGUUGUAUCUUGAUGAUGUUUAGGCCAAGUUUGAAUAUGGGUCAUGCUGGGUCAAAAACUAGGUCACGGGGUCACUUAGUGUGUUUUAAACCGAAAGUUUGUCCGGACCAUAACUAUGUCAUUUAUCGUUAGAUUUUAAAAUAACUUGGUACAUUUGUUCACCAUCAUGGAACGGUGUGUUGCGUGAAAAAAGUACGUCGAUAUCCCCAAGAUCAAGGUCACACUUGGAGUUCAAGGGUCAAAUGCUUGUCCGGGCCAUAACUUUAUCAUUUAUUGUGAGAUUUUAAAAUCAUUUAGCAAAUUUGUUCACCAUCAUGGGGCGGUGUGUCGCGCGAAAGAAUUACUUCAAUAUCUCGAAGGUCAAGGUCACACUUUGAGUUCAAAGAUUAAAAAUGGCCAUAAAUGAGCUUGUCUGGGCAAUAACUAUGUCAUUCAUAGUGAGAUUUUAAAAUCAUUUGGCACAUUUGUUCACCAUCAUUGGACGGUGUGUCGCGCGAAAGAAUUACGUCGAUAACUCCAAGUUCAAGGUCACACUUUGAGUUCAGAGGUAAAAAAAGGCCAUGUUGAUAACUCCAAGGUCUUGGUCACACUUGGAGUUCAAAAGUAAAAAAAAAUGGCCAUACAUUUGGACUGCAUGUCAUGCUAAAGAAUUCAAGAGUUCAAAGGUCAAAAUGGCCAUAAAUGAUAAUGGCAUUAUCAUUCUUAAACAUAGCCAUAAAUUUGAUUCUCUUGUUUUUUGAAGACAGCAUGCAAAAUAGUCUGUGUCAAUUCGGCCGUGGGGGUAUUUGUCACGUCUGUGACAAAGCUCUUGUUUGCUUAGUAAAGAUCUGCAUUAACUUUUAUUCAACAAAAUAAUGGGAGAAUGUAGAAUAUAAUCAUCGUACCUUUCUGUUGGUGCAUUGGUUUUUAGAGCCUUGCAUUUUCUUUUAAUUUAUAAAGGACAUGAUAUUUCAUAUGUAAUAUCAUAACCUGAGGAUCAAACUGUGUUAUAGAGUCUUUUGUCAAAUAACCCUGAAAAAAGGUUAAACAAGAAGAUUACUCAUAUUUUAAUUUAUUAAUGUGUCAUAUAAUGAAAAAAAGCAUUCUCUUUGCUCCAAUAUAUUGUUUUGUAUGAAAAGUUGUUUUUCAGUGUCUUAAUGUGAUUGUAUAUUUAUGAUGCAUAAAACAUGAAUACUUUUCACUGUCAAACUAUCGUUCUUGCAAUUUUAUUUUCAGAAAUAGUAUUUUUUGUGAACACUUAAUCUAGUGAAUAUAUAUGCUUUUCUUAUUGCAAACAACUGUUGUUGUUUUUAUGCCCCCCUUCGAAGAAGAGGGGGUAUAUUGCUUUGCUCAUGUCGGUCGGUCUGUCGGUCUGUCCACCAGGUGGUUGUCAGACGAUAACUCAAGAACGCUUGGGCCUAGGAUCAUGAAACUUCAUAGGUAGAUUGAUCAUGACUCGCAGAUGACCCUUAUUGAUUUUGAGGUCACUAGGUCAAAGGUGAAGGUCACAGCGACCAGAAAUAGUAAAAUGGUUUUUGAAUGAUAACUCAAGAACGCAUACGCCUAGGAUCAUGAAACUUCAUGGGUAGAUUGAUCAUGACUUGCAGAUGACCCUAAUUGAUUUUGAGGUCACUAGGUCAAAGGUCCAGGUCACGGUGACCCGAAAUAGUAAAAUGGUUUCCGGAUGAUAACUCAAGAACGCAUACGCCUAGGAUCAUGAAACUUCAUGGGUAGAUUGAUCAUGACUCGCAGAUGACCCCUAUUGAUUUUGAGGUCACUAGGUCAAAGGUCAAGGUCACAGUGAUCCAAAAUAGUAAAAUGGUUUUCGGAUGAUAACUCAAGAACGCAUACACCUAGGAUCAUGAAACUUCAUAGGUAGAUUGAUCAUGACUUGCAGAUGACCCCUAUUGAUUUUAAGGUCACAAGGUCAAAGGUCAAGGUCACAGUGACCCGAAAUAGUAAAAUGAUUUUCAGAUGAUAACUCAAGAAUGCUUUUGCCUAGGAUCAUGAAACUUCAUGGGUAGAUUGAUCAUGACUCGCAGAUGACCCCUAUUGAUUUUGAGGUCACUAGGUCAAAGGUCAAGGUCACAGUGAUCCAAAAUAGUAAAAUGGUUUUCGGAUGAUAACUCAAGAACGCAUACACCUAGGAUCAUGAAACUUCAUAGGUAGAUUGAUCAUGACUUGCAGAUGACCCCUAUUGAUUUUAAGGUCACAAGGUCAAAGGUCAAGGUCACAGUGACCCGAAAUAGUAAAAUGAUUUUCAGAUGAUAACUCAAGAAUGCUUUUGCCUAGGAUCAUGACACUUCAUAGGUACAUUGAUCGUGACCCGCAGAUGACCCCUAUUGAUUUUCAGGUCACUAUUUUAACACAAGUAUGAAUGACUUUUACUUUAU
Dreissena polymorpha is the source of this 3024-nucleotide RNA transcript. RefSeq lists it as uncharacterized. Lineage: Eukaryota; Metazoa; Mollusca; Bivalvia; Myida; Dreissenidae. The record is from RefSeq and is a predicted model, not a curated record. The transcript is spliced from 4 exons.